GAUGAACGCUAGCGGCAGGCUUAAUACAUGCAAGUCGUGGGGCAGCAGCUCUGUAGCAAUACAGAGGCUGGCGACCGGCAAACGGGUGCGGAACACGUACGCAACUUACCCAUAACUGGUGAAUAGCCCUCCGAAAGGAGGAUUAAUACAUCGUAACAUAAUGAGAUGGCAUCAUUUUAUUAUUAUAGCUCCGGCGGUUAUGGAUGGGCGUGCGGCUGAUUAGGUAGUUGGCGGAGUAAUAGCCCACCAAGCCUACGAUCAGUAACUGGUGUGAGAGCACGACCAGUCACACGGGCACUGAGACACGGGCCCGACUCCUACGGGAGGCAGCAGUAAGGAAUAUUGGUCAAUGGACGCAAGUCUGAACCAGCCAUGCCGCGUGAAGGAUGAAGGUCCUCUGGAUUGUAAACUUCUUUUAUAUGGGACGAAACCUCGUUUUCUAACGGGCCUGACGGUACCAUACGAAUAGCA
This 471-nucleotide ribosomal RNA is filed under the name uncultured bacterium. RNAcentral's name for it is "bacterial SSU rRNA". It matches the Rfam family "Bacterial small subunit ribosomal RNA", at positions 28 to 492 of the family's 1533-position model. The record is from RNAcentral.